This 429-nucleotide ribosomal RNA is filed under the name Bacteroidota bacterium. Its description in RNAcentral is "Bacteroidetes bacterium partial 16S ribosomal RNA". It matches the Rfam family "Bacterial small subunit ribosomal RNA", at positions 355 to 776 of the family's 1533-position model. Lineage: Bacteria; Pseudomonadati; Bacteroidota. The record is from RNAcentral.
UAGGGAAUCUUCGGCAAUGGGGGGAACCCUGACCGAGCAACGCCGCGUGAGUGAAGAAGGUUUUCGGAUCGUAAAGCUCUGUUGUUAAGGAAGAACGAGUGUGAGAAUGGAAAGUUCAUACUGUGACGGUACUUAACCAGAAAGGGACGGCUAACUACGUGCCAGCAGCCGCGGUAAUACGUAGGUCCCGAGCGUUGUCCGGAUUUAUUGGGCGUAAAGCGAGCGCAGGCGGUUAGAAAAGUCUGAAGUGAAAGGCAGUGGCUCAACCAUUGUAGGCUUUGGAAACUGUUUAACUUGAGUGCAGAAGGGGAGAGUGGAAUUCCAUGUGUAGCGGUGAAAUGCGUAGAUAUAUGGAGGAACACCGGUGGCGAAAGCGACUCUCUGGUCUGUAACUGACGCUGAGGCUCGAAAGCGUGGGUAGCAAACAGG